RNAcentral lists this ribosomal RNA (241 nucleotides) under uncultured bacterium. RNAcentral's name for it is "partial 16S ribosomal RNA". It matches the Rfam family "Bacterial small subunit ribosomal RNA", at positions 15 to 244 of the family's 1533-position model. The record is from RNAcentral.
GAUCCUGGCUCAGGAUGAACGCUAGCUACAGGCUUAACACAUGCAAGUCGAGGGGAAACGACAUCGAAAGCUUGCUUUUGACGGGCGUCGACCGGCGCACGGGUGAGUAACGCGUAUCCAACCUGCCCAUCACUUGGGAAUAACCUUGCGAAAGUAAGACUAAUGCCCAAUGAUAUCCCACGAAGGCAUCCGAAUGGGAUUAAAGAUUUAUCGGUGAUGGAUGGGGAGUGCGUCUGAUUAG